UACGAAGGGGGCUAGCGUUGCUCGGAAUCACUGGGCGUAAAGGGUGCGUAGGCGGGUCUUUAAGUCAGGGGUGAAAUCCUGGAGCUCAACUCCAGAACUGCCUUUGAUACUGAGGAUCUUGAGUUCGGGAGAGGUGAGUGGAACUGCGAGUGUAGAGGUGAAAUUCGUAGAUAUUCGGAAGAACACCAGUGGCGAAGGCGGCUCACUGGCCCGGUACUGACGCUGAUGUGCGAAAGCGUGGGGAGCAAACAGG
Molecule: ribosomal RNA, 253 nt
Filed under: uncultured bacterium
Lineage: Bacteria
Description: partial 16S ribosomal RNA
Rfam family: Bacterial small subunit ribosomal RNA
Source: RNAcentral